This 97-nucleotide signal recognition particle RNA is filed under the name Porticoccaceae bacterium. RNAcentral describes it as "signal recognition particle sRNA small type". It matches the Rfam family "Bacterial small signal recognition particle RNA". Rfam says of the family: The signal recognition particle (SRP) is a universally conserved ribonucleoprotein involved in the co-translational targeting of proteins to membranes. Archaeal SRP consists of a 7S RNA and homologues of the eukaryotic SRP19 and SRP54 proteins. In most bacteria, the SRP consists of a 4.5S RNA and the Ffh protein (a homologue of the eukaryotic SRP54 protein). Lineage: Bacteria; Pseudomonadati; Pseudomonadota; Gammaproteobacteria; Cellvibrionales; Porticoccaceae. The record is from RNAcentral.
CUUUGGUUCCCUCGCAACAGCCAACUGUGAACUCCGCCAGGCCCGGAAGGGAGCAACGGUAGCGGUAACGCUGUGUGCCGAGGUGCGGCUAUUGAGG